GACGAACGCUGGCGGCGUGCUUAACACAUGCAAGUCGAGCGGUAAGGCCCUUUCGGGGGUACGACGAGCGGCGAACGGGUGAGUAACACGUGGGUGACCUGCCCUCAGCUCUGGGAUAAGCCUGGGAAACCGGGUCUAAUACUGGAUAUGACGCCAUGACGCAUGUUGUGGGGUGGAAAGCCUUGUGCGGCUGAGGAUGGGCCCGCGGCCUAUCAGCUUGUUGGUGGGGUGANGGCCUACCAAGGCGACGACGGGUAGCCGGCCUGAGAGGGCGACCGGCCACACUGGGACUGAGACACGGCCCAGACUCCUACGGGAGGCAGCAGUGGGGAAUCUUGCGCAAUGGGCGAAAGCCUGACGCAGCGACGCCGCGUGAGGGAUGACGGCCUCGGUUGUAACGU
Molecule: ribosomal RNA, 401 nt
Filed under: uncultured bacterium
Lineage: Bacteria
Description: bacterial SSU rRNA
Rfam family: Bacterial small subunit ribosomal RNA
Source: RNAcentral